Molecule: long non-coding RNA, 2173 nt
Organism: Harmonia axyridis
Lineage: Eukaryota; Metazoa; Arthropoda; Insecta; Coleoptera; Coccinellidae
Exons: 2
Source: RefSeq, a predicted model, not a curated record
UUACUCUUUGAUAUAAAAAAUGCACAAGGAAGGCUUUGGAAUUUUUGACCAAACUUGGCAGAAAGUUUGAAAUAGUUAGUGUUAGGUGGAAACUGAUUUAAAUUUCAUUCAAUAAUCUUGUAGCCGUGAAAAAUUUGACGUAGAUGAAGAAGUUGGAGGCCAAGACAGACAAAUGAGGUCCGAGAGACAUCAAGAGACUGAUUUUCAAGUACAAGUAACCUUUCGUACAGUUUACUGUUGAAUUAGAGCUUUUGGUUAGAUUACUUGAAAUUUUCGGGGUAGUUUGGAUCGAAGAAUUACUAGGCUGAAUUAGUUAAGGGUCAAAAUCCGACUAGGGGUUCCAAAUUUUGUGUUCCUCAUAAUUUGAGUCAAUACUUUGUUCACUUUUAUUUCUGUAAAAUUACUUAAAUUUUCUUUAAGAGCCUUUGUAGUUGUAGCGUACUCUGUGUUAUAUUUAUUUGAUUAUUUAACGCCCAGAAUACAACAAGAGGAUUUCACACCCAUAAUAGUAUUUUUAAAAUGAACUAUAAUGCAAGAAAAUAAUAAAAACAAUAUUUAUAUUGUUAAAUUAAAUACGUAUAUUAAUCGCAAAAGGAGAACAAUGAAACAAUGAAUAAAACCCAUUACAGAAAAAAAAAUAAUAAUGUUAGGCAGUUCACAAGUAUUUAGCUUCCUUCUUGAUUGCAUUUACACUAUCGUGAAAAAUAUCAAAAUCAGCAUAAAGGUUAUUUCAACAUUCUAUGAAGAGGAGAGUUUUUUUUAGAAUAGCAAAAUAUCUGUAAUCCAUAGCCAAGUGUUCAUUAAUAUUUGAUACGAAAAUCAUCAUUGCAUCUCUUAUUCCAGUUUUAAUUCUCGCAACCACAAGAAAAAAUUAAGAAGAAUAAUGAAAAUAUUGAAAAAUUUCCGAGACUACACAGGACCACAAAUUUUUAAUGAACUCCCGAAAACUAUUAGAUUAUGUAAAACUUAAAGAAAACUUAAGAAGUUACCUUGAAAAUUGUUAAUUCCAUAUUUAUUAUUUUAUUCGUUUUCCUUGUAUUGAUUAGUUAUUAUUGAGAAACUAUUAUCUGUGAUAACUUAUUGUUGAUUAUAAAGUUGAAGGAAAAGUCUAUAAAAUACUUCUCUUGACGGAACCUUGUAUUUUAAAGUGAGUAAGUUUCAAUGAGCAAUUAACCGAACUGUAGAAUUAUGUUCUCCACCUUUUUUCACCUUUUCUUUAAGUUUUUCGCUCAGCAAGAUAUAUUAUACUUAAUAGUAUAAACUUUUUCAGAAUCUUCGGUUUGAUAAUGGCAAAUAUGCCGAAACAUGUAACCAGAUGAUUUAAUGUACGAGGUUCCACCAACAGAAGUGUUUUAUAGACUUUUUCCUUCAACGUUAUAUACUCAACAUUUCAAAAUGGGAUUUUAUGAGAUUAUUGUUUAUUAGCAGUAUUAUCAAUAAAUAAAUAAAUAAAGAAACAUAAUGAAGAGCUUGAAAAAUUAAUACUCGAUGUUGAGUUGAGUCUUAGAACUGAUAAAAUUAUAUACAUAUUAUUAAAUUUUUGUCAAUAAUGGUCUUCAGUUGCUAAUCUCUGAACAGGUGGAUAUAACAUUUCGUCACAAUGUCUGAAAUUUUCGACUGAGAUUUUAUGUGUAUAUAGAGAAUGAACAUUUCAAGUUUCGAACAAAAUUUCGUAUGAAUAGCAUAAACAAAACCAUAGAAAAUUCAAGAAGAACAUUGAAAAAUAAAUUCCUUAUAUUUCAGUGACAACAGCGGAAUCAGAACCAUACAAAAUUGGAGCAGAAUAUAGAGAAGAAUUAGAAAAGCACUGGAGUGAAGUCCGCUCUAGUCCUCCCCCCCCCUACAAAUGAGCACUGAUUUUGAUUGAACAAUUUCCGAACGUUGUUGAACUGAGUAUCUUUCCAUGAUUAAAUGGCUGGAAACAAAUGAUAUGAGGAAUAUCUACAAAUAAUACACUAGUAAUCCACAAUGAUACAUCAGAACUUGUUAGGGAAUUCAAAUGAAAUACCUGCUGGGAUAUGUGCGAAUCCAGCAGCUUCAUCUAAACCUUCAUUUCCAUGUUCGAGAGUCGAGUCGCCAGAUUCUGACAGAAGAUUGAUCAUUGUCUCUAGAGAAUGUUCCACUUCUUCAUUCUCCUCUACCAUUUGAAUAACAUCUUCUAUUUGAUCAAUGG